This is a small nucleolar RNA of Coffea eugenioides, 110 nucleotides long. RefSeq annotates it as small nucleolar RNA snoR126. Lineage: Eukaryota; Viridiplantae; Streptophyta; Magnoliopsida; Gentianales; Rubiaceae. The record is from RefSeq and is a predicted model, not a curated record. The transcript has a single exon.
GGGCAAUGAAGAUUGAAAUCGUUUCUCGAUUCUGAGUUGGUUGAUUAUUCGACCAUUGUUUUUUUUAUCCUGUUUUUCUUUGAUGACCUAUUUGUGCGUGUCUGAGCUCC